UGGGAAUAUUGGACAAUGGGCGAAAGCCUGAUCCAGCCAUGCCGCGUGUGUGAAGAAGGCCUUCGGGUUGUAAAGCACUUUCAGCGAGGAGGAAAGGUUGGCAGCUAAUACCUGUCGGCUGUGACGUUACUCGCAGAAGAAGCACCGGCUAACUCCGUGCCAGCAGCCGCGGUAAUACGAAGGGGGCAAGCGUUGUUCGGAAUUACUGGGCGUAAAGCGCGCGUAGGCGGCGUCGUCAGUCAGAGGUGAAAUCCCAGGGCUCAACCUUGGAAUUGCCUUUGAUACUGCGAUGCUUGAGUUCGAGAGAGGGUGGCGGAAUUCCUAGUGUAGCGGUGAAAUGCGUAGAUAUUAGGAGGAACACCAGUGGCGAAGGCGACUUUCUGGACUGUAACUGACGUUG
RNAcentral lists this ribosomal RNA (400 nucleotides) under uncultured bacterium. RNAcentral's name for it is "bacterial SSU rRNA". It matches the Rfam family "Bacterial small subunit ribosomal RNA", at positions 356 to 748 of the family's 1533-position model. The record is from RNAcentral.